Molecule: ribosomal RNA, 583 nt
Filed under: uncultured bacterium
Lineage: Bacteria
Description: partial 16S ribosomal RNA
Rfam family: Bacterial small subunit ribosomal RNA
Source: RNAcentral
CUAAGAAUAUUCCGCAAUGGACGGAAGUCUGACGGAGCGACGCCGCGUGGAUGACGAAGGCCGAAAGGUUGUAAAGUUCUUUUGCUGGGGAAGAAUAACCGCAGGAGGGAAUGCCUGUGGGAUGACAAGAACCGGCGAAUAAGCCCCGGCCAACUACGUGCCAGCAGCCGCGGUAACACGUAGGGGGCGAGCGUUGUUCGGAAUUACUGGGCGUAAAGGGCAUGUAGGCGGCUUGGAAAGCCUGGCGUGAAAGUCUGCAGCUUAACUGCAGGGGUGCGCUGGGAACUGCUGAGCUUGAGUGACGGAGAGGGAGCUGGAAUUCCUGGUGUAGGGGUGAAAUCUGUAGAUAUCAGGAAGAACACCGAUGGCGAAGGCAAGCUCCUGGCCGAUGACUGACGCUGAGGUGCGAAAGUGUGGGGAUCAAACAGGAUUAGAUACCCUGGUAGUCCACACAGUCAACGAUGUGCACUAGGUGCUGGGGCGGUAGCUUCGGUGCCGGAGCGAACGUGGUAAGUGCACCGCCUGGGGAGUAUGCUCGCAAGGGUGAAACUCAAAGGAAUUGACGGGGGUCAUAGCUGUUUCC